CAAGUCGAGGGGUAACAGGGUAAGCAAUACCGCUGACGACCGGCGCACGGGUGAGUAACGCGUAUGCAACCUACCCAUAACCGGAACAUAACGGUUGAGAAAUCGGACACUAAUAUUCCAUGUGUAUAUUUUGUGGCAUCAUAGGAUAUAUAAAGAUUAAUUGGUUAUGGAUGGGCAUGCGUAUCAUUAGCUAGUUGGUAGGGUAACGGCCUACCAAGGCUGCGAUGAUUAGGGGUUCUGAGAGGAUAACCCCCACACUGGAACUGAGACACGGUCCAGACUCCUACGGGAGGCAGCAGUAGGGAAUAUUGGGCAAUGGAGGCAACUCUGACCCAGCCAUGCCGCGUGAAGGAAGAACCGGUCCUAUGGAAUUGUAAACUUCUUUUAUCAUAGAGUAACCGCAGGGACGUGUCCCUGCCUGCAAGUAUAUGAUGAAUAAGCAUCGGCUAACUCCGUGCCAGCCGCAGC
Molecule: ribosomal RNA, 468 nt
Filed under: uncultured bacterium
Lineage: Bacteria
Description: bacterial SSU rRNA
Rfam family: Bacterial small subunit ribosomal RNA
Source: RNAcentral